This 403-nucleotide ribosomal RNA is filed under the name Verrucomicrobiota bacterium. Its description in RNAcentral is "Verrucomicrobia bacterium partial 16S ribosomal RNA". It matches the Rfam family "Bacterial small subunit ribosomal RNA", at positions 355 to 776 of the family's 1533-position model. The record is from RNAcentral. Lineage: Bacteria; Pseudomonadati; Verrucomicrobiota.
UGGGGAAUAUUGCACAAUGGGCGCAAGCCUGAUGCAGCAACGCCGCGUGAACGAUGAAGGUCUUCGGAUCGUAAAGUUCUGUUGCAGGGGAAGAUAAUGACGGUACCCUGUGAGGAGGCCCCGGCUAACUACGUGCCAGCAGCCGCGGUAAUACGUAGGGGGCUAGCGUUAUCCGGAUUUACUGGGCGUAAAGGGUGCGUAGGUGGUCUUUCAAGUCGGUGGUUAAAGGCUACGGCUCAACCGUAGUUAGCCUCCGAAACUGGAAGACUUGAGUGCAGGAGAGGAAAGUGGAAUUCCCAGUGUAGCGGUGAAAUGCGUAGAUAUUGGGAGGAACACCAGUAGCGAAGGCGGCUUUCUGGACUGCAACUGACACUGAGGAACGAAAGCGUGGGUAGCAAACAGG